AAUACUUUUUCAAUUUUUGGGGUUCUAUAAAUUGGCUACAUCUAUCAACAAUGUGAUAGCACAUAACCACUUACAUUUUUUUAGAAGACAAAAAAAGGUGAUGGAGAGGAAAACACUUGCUAGCUUGUGCUUCUUUCUCAUUGUUCUCUUAGCUGCUCAAGUAGUGGCGCAAAUUGUGCCUUGUAAGACACGAAAUCGUAACUUCAAGAGUGCAUGUAUUGCUGUAUCUGGCGACAACGAAGAAUGUGACCAUGAUUGCAGGAGAGUAGGAGGCUGGUAUGGUGGUUCUUGCAAAAAUCAGAAAUGUGUUUGUGACUGUUGAACAUCUCCUACAUAAAUAAAUAAUCUAGUUAUAGUAUGAUUCAUAGCUAGAUUAUGUUUAUGGAAUAAAUCAUUGAUCAAUUCUCUUCCCUUGAGUGAGAAGAGAAUUAAUUAAUAUAUAGAGUAAUAUGUGUGACAAGAUAGCAUGUUGUCUUAUUAAAUAAACGGAAAUGAUUAUCAUAGCAAGACAUUGCAUCGUGAGGAUUUCCAGAAUGAUGUGGCAACAUAAUAUCUUUAUUAAAUUGGCUGAAUAGUGUUUCGCGGCCGUUUCACGAUUUGAGGAAUGCUAGGGUCACACCCUCUAACUCACCAUUUAACACACUCCAAUAGGUCACCUCAUCCAAUUUUUUAUUUUCCUUUUGAUUUAAUUUGGGUGAAAAGCGACAAUUCCUUCGGGACAUACAAGAACUUGGUCUUGGAGAAGGUCGAGCGAAGAAGAUAGAUAUUAAACUCCAAAAAAUAAAAAAUAAAAUAAAUGUUCAUAAAGUGAAACCGGUAGCUGUAAAGAAAAUAAAAAAGUGGACUACAUGGCUUAUCUUGAUUGGAGUGUAUUAAAAGGGUAUGUUAGAAGGUGUGACCCUAGCAUUCCUCUUCAUGAUUUUUCACCUUGGGAUGUAUAGCAUCGCUGUUAAAUAAAAUAUGUGUUAAUUAUGUUUGUAGUGUUA
Molecule: long non-coding RNA, 986 nt
Organism: Medicago truncatula (barrel medic)
Lineage: Eukaryota; Viridiplantae; Streptophyta; Magnoliopsida; Fabales; Fabaceae
Exons: 2
Source: RefSeq, a predicted model, not a curated record